GCCGAAGUGGUGGAACUGGUAGACACGCCAUCUUGAGGGGGUGGUGGGCUACGCCCGUGGGGGUUCGAGUCCCCCCUUCGGCACCA
This 86-nucleotide transfer RNA is filed under the name Desulfonauticus sp. RNAcentral describes it as "tRNA-Leu". It matches the Rfam family "tRNA". From Rfam's summary of the family: Transfer RNA (tRNA) molecules are approximately 80 nucleotides in length. Their secondary structure includes four short double-helical elements and three loops (D, anti-codon, and T loops). Further hydrogen bonds mediate the characteristic L-shaped molecular structure. tRNAs have two regions of fundamental functional importance: the anti-codon, which is responsible for specific mRNA codon recognition, and the 3' end, to which the tRNAs corresponding amino acid is attached (by aminoacyl-tRNA synthetases). tRNAs cope with the degeneracy of the genetic code in two manners: having more than one tRNA (with a specific anti-codon) for a particular amino acid; and 'wobble' base-pairing, i.e. permitting non-standard base-pairing at the 3rd anti-codon position. The record is from RNAcentral. Lineage: Bacteria; Pseudomonadati; Thermodesulfobacteriota; Desulfovibrionia; Desulfovibrionales; Desulfonauticaceae.